This 420-nucleotide ribosomal RNA is filed under the name uncultured bacterium. Its description in RNAcentral is "bacterial SSU rRNA". It matches the Rfam family "Bacterial small subunit ribosomal RNA", at positions 31 to 497 of the family's 1533-position model. The record is from RNAcentral.
GUACGCUGGCGGCACGCCUAACACAUGCAAGUCGAACGCAGUAGCAAUACUGAGUGGCAAACGGGUGAGUAUAAUGUGGGAAUCUGCCUUUUGGUUUGGAAUAACACGGGGAAACUUGUGCUAAUACCGAAUAAGCCCUUACGGGGAAAGUUUUAACGCCGAAAGAUGAGCCCGCACUUGAUUAGCUAGUUGGUAAGGUAAAAGCUUACCAAGGCAACGAUCAAUAGCUGUUCUUAGAGGAAGACCAGCCACAUUGGGACUGAGACACGGCCCAGACUCCUACGGGAGGCAGCAGUGGGGAAUCUUGCACAAUGGGGGAAACCCUGAUGCAGCGAUGCCGCGUGAGUGAAGAAGGCCUUUGGGUUGUAAAGCUCUUUCGUCGGGGAAGAAAAUGACUGUACCCGAAUAAGAAGGUCCGGC